GCCUGGGUGGCUCAGUCGGUAAAGCAUCUGACUUCAGCUCAGGUCAUGGUCUCGCGGUUUGUGAGUUCGAGCCCCGCGUCGGGCU
Felis catus (domestic cat) is the source of this 85-nucleotide transfer RNA. It matches the Rfam family "tRNA". Rfam says of the family: Transfer RNA (tRNA) molecules are approximately 80 nucleotides in length. Their secondary structure includes four short double-helical elements and three loops (D, anti-codon, and T loops). Lineage: Eukaryota; Metazoa; Chordata; Mammalia; Carnivora; Felidae. The record is from Rfam.